Molecule: ribosomal RNA, 253 nt
Filed under: uncultured bacterium
Lineage: Bacteria
Description: partial 16S ribosomal RNA
Rfam family: Bacterial small subunit ribosomal RNA
Source: RNAcentral
UACGAAGGGGGCUAGCGUUGUUCGGAAUUACUGGGCGUAAAGCGCACGUAGGCGGAUCGAUCAGUCAGGGGUGAAAUCCCAGAGCUCAACUCUGGAACUGCCUUUGAUACUGUCGAUCUAGAGUAUGGAAGAGGUGAGUGGAAUUCCGAGUGUAGAGGUGAAAUUCGUAGAUAUUCGCAAGAACACCAGUGGCGAAGGCGGCUCACUGGCCCGGUACUGACGCUGAGGUGCGAAAGCGUGGGGAGCAAACAGG